UGCAAGUCGAACGGUAGCAGGAGAAGGCUUGCUUUCUUGCUGACGAGUGGCGGACGGGUGAGUAAUGCUUGGGAAUCUGGCUUAUGGAGGGGGAUAACGACGGGAAACUGUUGCUAAUACCGCGUAUUAUCGGAAGAUGAAAGUGCGGGACUGAGAGGCCGCAUGCCAUAGGAUGAGUCCAAGUGGGAUUAGGUAGUUGGUGGGGUAAAGGCCUACCAAGCCUGCGAUCUCUAGCUGGUCUGAGAGGAUGACCAGCCACACUGGAACUGAGACACGGUCCAGACUCCUACGGGAGGCAGCAGUGGGGAAUAUUGCGCAAUGGGGGGAACCCUGACGCAGCCAUGCCGCGUGAAUGAAGAAGGCCUUAGGGUUGUAAAGUUCUUUCGGUAUUGAGGAAGGUUGAUGUGUUAAUAGCACAUCAAAUUGACGUUAAAUACAGAAGAAGCACCGGCUAACUCCGUGCCAGCAGCCGCGGUAAUACGGAGGGUGCGAGCGUUAAUCGGAAUAACUGGGCGUAAAGGGCACGCAGGCGGUUAUUUAAGUGAGGUGUGAAAGCCCCGGGCUUAACCUGGGAAUUGCAUUUCAGACUGGGUAACUAGAGUACUUUAGGGAGGGGUAGAAUUCCACGUGUAGCGGUGAAAUGCGUAGAGAUGUGGAGGAAUACCGAAGGCGAAGGCAGCCCCUUGGGAAUGUACUGACGCUCAUGUGCGAAAGCGUGGGGAGCAUACAGGAUUAGAUAUCCUGGUAGUCCACGCUGUAAACGCUGUCGAUUUGGGGGUUGGGGUUUAACUCUGGCGCCCGUAGCUAACG
RNAcentral lists this ribosomal RNA (810 nucleotides) under uncultured Haemophilus sp. RNAcentral's name for it is "bacterial SSU rRNA". It matches the Rfam family "Bacterial small subunit ribosomal RNA", at positions 56 to 857 of the family's 1533-position model. The record is from RNAcentral. Lineage: Bacteria; Pseudomonadati; Pseudomonadota; Gammaproteobacteria; Pasteurellales; Pasteurellaceae.